RNAcentral lists this ribosomal RNA (717 nucleotides) under uncultured fungus. RNAcentral's name for it is "SSU rRNA". It matches the Rfam family "Eukaryotic small subunit ribosomal RNA", at positions 828 to 1570 of the family's 1831-position model. Lineage: Eukaryota; Fungi. The record is from RNAcentral.
CGUGUGGUUCUAUUUUGUUGGUUAUGGGACCGCCGUAAUGAUUAAUAGGGACAGUCGGGGGCAUCAGUAUUCAAUUGUCAGAGGUGAAAUUCUUGGAUUUAUUGAAGACUAACUACUGCGAAAGCAUUUGCCAAGGAUGUUUUCAUUAAUCAGGAACGAAAGUUAGGGGAUCGAAGACGAUCAGAUACCGUCGUAGUCUUAACCAUAAACUAUGCCGACUAGGGAUCGGGCGAUGUUACUUUUUGACUCGCUCGGCACCUUACGAGAAAUCAAAGUUUGAGGGUUCCUGGGGGAGUAUGGUGGCAACGCUGAAACUUAAAGAAAUUGACGGAAGGGCACCACCAGGGGUGGAGCCUGCGGCUUAAUUUGACUCAACACGGGGAAACUCACCAGGUCCAGACACAAUGAGGAUUGACAGAUUGAGAGCUCUUUCUUGAUUUUGUGGGUGGUGGUGCAUGGCCGUUCUUAGUUGGUGGAGUGAUUUGUCUGCUUAAUUGCGAUAACGAACGAGACCUUAACCUGCUAAAUAGCCCGUGUUGCUUCUGCAGCACGCCGGCUUCUUAGAGGGACUAUCGGCUCAAGCCGAUGGAAGUUUGAGGCAAUAACAGGUCUGUGAUGCCCUUAGAUGUUCUGGGCCGCACGCGCGCGACACUGACAGGGCCAGCGAGUUCUCCCUUGUCCGAAAGGACCGGGUAAUCUUGUUAAACCCUGUCGUGC